CCUGCCCACUGAUUUAUUGAAUGGCCGCAGUAAUUUGACUGUGCAAAGGUAGCAUAAUCAUUAGUUUUUUAAUUAAAAGCUUGUAUGAAGGGUUGGACGAGGUAAAAUCUGUCUCUAUUUAAUUUAUUUUAGAAUUUAAUUUUUAAGUUAAAAAGCUUAAAUUUAAAUAAAAGACGAGAAGACCCUAUAGAUCUUUAUAUUUAUAUAAAUAAUUUUAAUUAGGAAUAUUUUAUUUUUUAUUUUUAUAAGUAUUUUAUUGGGGUAAUAAAAAGAUUUAUAAAAUUCUUUUUGAUAUAUUAUAUUGAUUAGUAAAUUUAUGAUCCAAUAAUUUUGAUUAAAAGAUUAAGUUACCUUAGGGAUAACAGCGUAAUUUUUUUAGAGAGUUCAUAUCGAUAAAAAAGUUUGCGACCUCGAUGUUGGAUUAAAAAUUGUUC
RNAcentral lists this ribosomal RNA (434 nucleotides) under Copelatus caelatipennis. Its description in RNAcentral is "partial 16S ribosomal RNA". Lineage: Eukaryota; Metazoa; Arthropoda; Insecta; Coleoptera; Dytiscidae. The record is from RNAcentral.